This 253-nucleotide ribosomal RNA is filed under the name Morganella morganii. RNAcentral's name for it is "partial 23S ribosomal RNA". It matches the Rfam family "Bacterial large subunit ribosomal RNA", at positions 2506 to 2758 of the family's 2925-position model. The record is from RNAcentral. Lineage: Bacteria; Pseudomonadati; Pseudomonadota; Gammaproteobacteria; Enterobacterales; Morganellaceae.
CGACGGCGGUGUUUGGCACCUCGAUGUCGGCUCAUCACAUCCUGGGGCUGAAGUAGGUCCCAAGGGUAUGGCUGUUCGCCAUUUAAAGUGGUACGCGAGCUGGGUUUAGAACGUCGUGAGACAGUUCGGUCCCUAUCUGCCGUGGGCGCUGGAAGAUUGAGAGGGGUUGCUCCUAGUACGAGAGGACCGGAGUGAACGCACCACUGGUGUACGGGUUGUGAUGCCAAUUGCAUUGCCCGGUAGCUAAGUGCGG